Molecule: ribosomal RNA, 214 nt
Filed under: uncultured bacterium
Lineage: Bacteria
Description: partial 16S ribosomal RNA
Rfam family: Bacterial small subunit ribosomal RNA
Source: RNAcentral
UCAGUUCGGAUUGUAGUCUGCAACCCGACCUACAUGGAGCUGGAAUCGCUAGUAAUCGCAGAUCAGAAUGCUGCGGUGAAUACGUUCCCGGGUCUUGUACACACCGCCCGUCACACCAUGGGAGUUGGAAAUGCCCGAAGCCAGUGACCCAACCGUAAGGAGGGAGCUGUCGAAGGUGGAGCCGAUGACUGGGGUGAAGUCGUAACAAGGUACC